RNAcentral lists this ribosomal RNA (115 nucleotides) under Danio rerio (zebrafish). Lineage: Eukaryota; Metazoa; Chordata; Actinopteri; Cypriniformes; Danionidae. The record is from RNAcentral.
ACUGGCAGCUAGCUCUCUGCAACUCACACAUGGUCGCCCACUGAAGCUAAGCAGGGCUGCGCCCGGUCAGUACAUAGAUGGGAGACCACAUGGGAAAGCGGAAGUGGUGUUAGUG